Equus caballus (horse) is the source of this 5879-nucleotide long non-coding RNA. Lineage: Eukaryota; Metazoa; Chordata; Mammalia; Perissodactyla; Equidae. The record is from Ensembl.
ACGUUCUUGUGUCAGGAAUUGUUUACUGCACAGUAGUAUUCCCUUGUGUGGACGUGGCACUUUCAUCCAAGCACCAGGUGAUGGCCAUUUGAGUUGUUCCCAGUUUGGGUGAUAAAGCUGCCAGAUGUUUUCUUUUCUCUUAGGUAAAUACCUAGGGGUGACCUUGCGGGGUCAUGGAGGAAAGGUAUGUGUGAGAAACCGCCCAGUUGUCUCCCAAAGUGUUUGCACCAUUUUCCAUUCCCACCAGCGAUGGGUGAGAAUUCCAGUUGCUCCGAAUCCUUGCUGACAUUUGAUGUUGUCAAUAUUUUUUUGUAUGUGUGUGAGGAAGACUGGCCCUGAGCCAGCAUCAGUGCCCAUCUUCCUCUAUUUUGUAUGUGGAAUUCCACCACAGCGUGGCUUGAUGAGCGAUGUAUAGGUCCAUGCCUGGGAUCAGAACCUGUGAACCCUGGGCUGCCAAAGCAGCGCACGGGAACUUAACCACUAUGCCACGGGGCUGGCCCCUGUUGUAUUUUUAAUUUUAGCCAUUCUCCUAAGUGUGUAGUGACAUCUCAUUAUCAUUUUAAUUUUCAUUUCCCCAGUGGCUAAUGAUGUGGAGCAUCUUUUGGUGCUUAUUUGGGGCCUGUAUCUCUUCUUUGGUGAAGUGUCUGCUCAGCCCAUUUUCAGAAAUGGAGGUGCUGCUCUUUCUUAUCCCAGCUGCUGAUGAGUCGGGGGAUGGGGCAUACGUGGGCAGCAUCUCAACAUGUGGGUUCUAACCCUUUUCCUUCAUGUCACCUCUGAUGAUGCCCUGGGGGAGCCCUGAGCUUCUGUAGGACACACGUGCCUCCCCGCCCCCCGAGAAGCCUUCUUUGGGUAAAAGACCCCAGUGCUGUGGGCGCGUGGAUCCGUUGUCAGGUAUGUGAAGUCCUCUCAUCAAUGCUGUUGCAGGAUCCAGUAAUUCUCCAGUCCUGAAUCCACACGCUUUCCCGAGUUGGUGAGGUGACCGUGCAGCGGGCACAUUUAGAAAUUCCCGGACCCAAAGUCUCCCUGGUGCUGGGCCCUCAGCAGGAGCUGGGUUUUGGCUGGUCCUAACCAAGUUCUUAUGGUGGUGACGGCAGGUGGGCCCUUGAGGCAAAGCCACCCUUAGGGGCUGGACGAGAAGGGCAGGGCUGGGCCCAGACGGGCAGCAGCAGACCUUGGGCAGCGUGUGCAGGGUCCCAGCAUGAAAGCCACCUUCCCCAUCCCCAGUCCACACUGGCUAUGGCGGCUACCCUCUGCCAGGGUCGCUCUCUUCUCUGUGCACAGUCUGUGCAGCCUCCUAGCUUCAGCCUGGUGCAACUCCCAGCCUCCUCCCACACCCUGUGAAGCCUGGCUCCUGAUGCCCACGCCCCACGCUCUGGGGAAAAAAAAUAAUAAGGAAAAACGCAAAGAUAAAUGAAGAAGGCAUGCCCUUGGUGACAACACAGGUUUACAGCAGCCGCAGCAAAGGCUGGGAGCCCCUUGCACGGUGCAUGGUUGCCACAUCUUAAAGUCUGAGAAACCCACGUAUCAUCGUCUUUAAUGGGUCUUUGCAGAUGUCAUCAAGUUACGAGAAGGCCAUGUGACGACGGGGCAGAGACUGGACAGAUGCAGCCACAAGCCAAGGGUUGCCAGAACCCACAGAAGCUGGAAGAGGCAGGAAGGACCCUCCCCUGGAGCCUUCAGAGGGAACACGGCCCUGCUGACACCUUGAUUUUGGACGUCUGGCCCCCAGAAUGGGCGGCUGCACCUCGAUGCCAGCGUGGGGGCUUCACUCUGCGCUGUCCUUGGACCCCCCCCUUCCCCAGAGGCUGAUGACCAUGGAGGGUCUUCUCCACCCCUAGAUGAGCCAGCUCCCAAUCCCAGAGCUCCAGGACCUGACUCCUGCUGGCUUAUCCGCCGCCCCACCAAGGCCCUAGAUGCCACCCGCCCAGGCCCCUCUCUGCUGCCCCCCUUUUGCAGUCUUCGACUUUGGCUCUCUUGUCCUCUGACCAUGUCUUGCCUCAAACCCAAGGCCUUCCCCACACCCAGGUGCAUCCACUGAUGGCGACGGGUGAAUGCCUAAGUCCACCACACGUCCCCGAUCUCCCAGGACACUCACAACUUCACGUAGUCUCCUCCAUUUUCACAAGUCACAUGUCCCAAGAAUUGCUGGUUUCAGCAUUCAAAGCGCCCCUCCUGGACUUCUGCCUGCUCUGGAGCGCUGCCCACGCAGACCGUGGCAGGACUCGGAACGGGUUUAGAGAGCACCAUAGGCAGACGGAUUACCCCUCCUUCGUGUGUGUCUAAUGUUCUUGAGUCCCUCCCCAUCUGAGACAAAAGCUGGAGGGACUAUGCCGGGCCUGUCUGGGACUGUCCAUUCCAGGACAGCUUAACGCAGCUGAGCGAAGAGUCGACAGGCAGGGAUGGUGGGCUCACGGCACGGUGUUCCGCAUGGAGCUAGCAGCAUGCACAAGGGCAUACAGAGGAAAGUGGAAGCUGAGGGAGCAGUGAUCUGGGGCUGGGCCCUGGGGUACACCUGCUGCCCAGGCCUGAAACUGGGGGUCAGCCCAGGCUCCCCCUCCCUCUCCAACCCGCCCAUCCAAUGAGUCACAGGGUUCUAGAACCUCCCUCUCAGAUAUUUGCGUCGAUUACCAAUAUCACUGUCUUAUUUCAGGCUUCUUUCAUUUCUCAUUACACACACUGUGGAAGACACCUGGCUGCUAAUCUCUUCCUUCUCCUCCGAUCCUUCACAGCACACCCAGCCUCACAAGCUGAACGUUCUCUCCUGAUGGUGAAACCUCACACGAUGCCCUUGUCAUCCAAGGGAAGUCCAGGCCUGGGCACAUUCAGAGCCCCCACCUCAGCCCUCACCAGUCCUGGGCUCCAGCUGGGCCCCCAACCCUCUAGUUCCAGGGUGUACUCUGACCCUCGUGUCUUUGCACACGCCAUUCCUUAUAUCCAGAACUCCCUUCCCAACCCCAGUUAUUCGGCUCGUAUUCACUGAGCACCUGUUACGUCCAGGCACCAUUCUAUGCACCAGGGAUACGGUGUGGAACUUGAAUUUUGGUGGGGUAACUGACAGUAAGCAACUCAGAGUGCGCCAGGUGUUGGCGAGCACUACGAUGAGGAGAAUGCUGGAGAACGGGAACACACCUGGGCAGGGUGAGGACCGAGGGCAAGGAGGAGUCAGCCAUAAGGAGACUAAAGAGGAAAGACGUUCCAGGUGGAGGAAAGAGCCCACGCCGAGGCCCCUAAGCAGGAGAGAAAAAGAAGGCCAGUGAAAGGAGAGCGUGGCCAGGGGCUGACAGCCAGGCUUCCUGAGCCGGGCUCCCAGGUUGGGUCCUCUGGCGGGCAGACACUUCCUGCGGGAGACUCGGUGGAUGGUGGUGGAGACGGGAAGAUACGCAGAAUGUGUUCUGGAGGCAGAAGUGAUGAGACUCGCUGCCAAACUGGAUAAGAAGAUGAAGAAAGGGAUCCAGAAGGACUUCAGAGCGCAGACCCACGAGGGCAGGGAGCUGUGUUUUACUUAUGGAUGCAUCUGGAGGCUAGAACAGUGCCUGGCAUGUGAUCUGAGGAGCUGCAGGCUGCCCACGCUCCUAUUUGAUGGACAGGAAACUGCAGGGUGCAGAGGAUAUGCAACUUACCCCAGGUCACCCAGUCAUUAAGUUGAAGAGCUGGCUCUUGAACCCAGGACUGCAUUGGAACAUUGACAAUAAUUCUACCUUAGAAAGAAAGAACGCAUAAAAGGACCGGGGCAUCUAUUUUUAGCAGCAGUAAUUUCACAGGUAUCAGGGAACCAGACAGUGAACCGAAUCAACUGAGUCACCUUUCGGGGGUGACUCAUGUUCUGGAUCAAGGUCAACAAGGUUGACUCUCACUAAAAGAGAAGUAAAGCUCUAAAGUCUCCAGGAUUUUUUUUAAAUUUUUUUUUUUUUUUGAGGAAGAUUAGCCCUGAGCUGUUGCCAAUCCGCCUCUUUUUGCUGAGGAAGACUGGCCCUGAGCUAACAUCUGUGCCCAUCUUCCUCUACUUAUAGCUGAGACACCUACCACAGCAUGGCUGGCCAAGUGGUGCCAUGUCUGCACCUGGGAUCUGAACUGGGGAACCCCGGGCCACCGAAGUGGAACGUGUGCACUUAACUGCUGCACCACUGGGCUCACCCCCCAGGAUUUUUUGGUUUUUUUAAGGAAAAAGAAACAAACGAACAAAAAACAGUCACAUCUCUGGUCUUUUAAAAAUAGCUUCAGGGUCAGAUAGAUGCAGUCAGCAUUUCUAACCAUCCAUUUGUCACGUGCACAUGAAUCUUCAGGUCUCAGUCAGACAGAGGUGCUCAGCUGUUUUGAAAUGAGGUGGUAAGAAACACCACCAUUCCGCUUGUAGACACACAGCGUAAGCCGCUGUUUGCAAAGGGCCACCCAGACCAACGCCCUUCAGUAAGUUUCUCCCACAGUCUCGUGUCUCCGUCUAGAAAUCCAGAACGACGGCUGUCGGCUCCCUCUCGCCUGUCCCGGAAUGAGCACAGCUCCCGUCAGAGACGAAGCUAGAUCCCCUUGAUGUGUGGCCCCUGCACGGGAAGGAGGAUACUGACUGCUUCCAGAGUCCAUCUUCCUUGUGCUGAGAGGACAGGGGCUGAUGCGGCCGCUGCGCGCCUGGGGCCCACCCUGUGUCUGGGUCCCUGGGAGAGGCAGAGACGCUUGCCCUCGUGCCUCACAGUCCUGAGCACACAUGAGUCUCAGAGCAUUUGCCACUUGGGUUGAUGGUUCACGUCUAUUUCCCCAAAGAGGGAGCCAGUUCCUCGAGGGCAGGGACCAUGUGGUAUUCAUCUGUGCAGUCCCAAAGCCUGGGCAUGACCGGCACGUACGUCAUAUGCUGACGGCAGGGAGGGAAAAAAAGGCGAGACAGCCAAGAGAUGGACCUGACCCAUAGGCCCACAUACCUCACUCUUUAUAGACUAAGCUGCUCAUCAACUGAUUCACUCACUCGUCCAGCACAGGCUGCGGAGCAUCACUCCUCUGCUUCCUGCUCCCUUUCAGCUCAUCCCCCCUGCACACACUUGUCUCCCUUCCCAAACCUUCUAACCGAAGCUCCGUGCUCUGGCUUAACCCCUCCCCAUUAGGAGAAAAAGCAGAUUAAGGGCUGACCCUUAACAAACUCCACCCUACACACCCGAAACACUCCCAGAGCAGCUCGUUUGCAAGGUCACGGACUUUGCUGUCAGAUCUGGUUCCAACACCCACUCCCCCAGCUCCUAGCCUUUAUGACCUCACAGACGGGAUGGAUCAUUCCUAAAAAGCAGGGUGGCCGUGCGGAUCAGACCACAGCUGAGGGCAGACACUUGCCCAAUCCCAGCUGUCCUCCUUCACCCCAGUGCACGGCCUUGGGGAGCUGGGGGCCAUCUUUCUCUACCAAAGGGAUGCCACGGUGCAGAUUUUAAAGGAACCGCACCCCUCAUCUCCUUUCAUAAUGGCAACUUGCAGGACAGCACACAAGAAAUCCCAUCGAAAUCCACUUUCUUACUGUACCCAGUUCAUAAUCAAACACCCAGAAUUACAACUGCCCUUACAAAUACACACAGAGUCUGCUCCCAAUCUUCUUUAAGGCAAACGGGUUGCUAGGACCUGGUAUGGAGGUGUUGACACAAUCCAGUUACCAUCAGCGUCCGCUGUCUGCCAAACUGGAGGGUCUUGAGGCGUCUUUGGUCUCCUAGGACCAGAAAGGGGAGCACAUGAAGACUGAUGCUUCUGGCUGGGGUCGUAUUUCAGCUUCAUACCCAGCUUUUCUCACAAUAAUGUUUGAAGACAAGACUUCCCAACGCCUAGCUUGAGGAGCAGUGCUACGUCUGCAUCCGGGAUCCGAACCUGCCAACCGCACGCCACCUAAGCGGAGUGUGAGAACUUAACCACUA